CGCGGUGGGCUGCACAAAAAGUAGCUCAAAAGCAAAAACCUUUCAGGCGUAUACAAAUUCUGAGGGAUCAGUACAUCUUUACUGCCUGCAGUACCAGCCUUGAUCUUCUUAUCUGCCCGCUGACUGAAGGACCUUAAUAUCUACAAUAGCAGUCAAUACUACAAUAACUUUGAGGUUUGAGUUUUCUCCUGUUAUUGCAUAAGGAAAAACUUCCUUCUUGGAGGCUGUUGAAGAACUAGGACAUAUUGUGCACUUCAACCUGAAAAAGAGGUCUCUUUAUCCAGGUGGAUCUUCCAAAAUGUGAUGUUAAUUCAUGCACUUCCUAACAAGUCUAAUACCUCUCCCAGCAGAGGUAUGCCUGCAGUGCAAAUCCAAGGAAUGACUGCUGUUCGUGGAAGUAUCCAUCUCACAGAUGGGCUCCAGCCACUGAUCAGAAGCCAGUGGAGCUGUAGAUGUGGAUUGUAAAGAAGUCUGUUCAUAUUUUACAAACAGAAGGAUGCAGCUUUCUCCCUGUGUAUUUGUAGCUUAGAAAGAAUGAGCCAACCCCAGCAAUAACAGUAACAAAAAUAACCUAGUAUGGACCAGAAGCCUAUUAAAAAAAAAAGUUAUGUAAUCUCUCUA
Molecule: long non-coding RNA, 621 nt
Organism: Lonchura striata (white-rumped munia)
Lineage: Eukaryota; Metazoa; Chordata; Aves; Passeriformes; Estrildidae
Source: RefSeq, a predicted model, not a curated record